Molecule: long non-coding RNA, 191 nt
Organism: Quercus lobata
Lineage: Eukaryota; Viridiplantae; Streptophyta; Magnoliopsida; Fagales; Fagaceae
Exons: 3
Source: RefSeq, a predicted model, not a curated record
UGAGAAUAUUUAAACGUGACGUACAGCAAAAGGUUUUGGAAAUUGUUGGCAUCUCCCAGGAGCAGGCUGAAGUAAAGUUUGGUUAUCUUCUGGAGGCAUUAGACAUGGGUGCUCCACCACAUGGAGGAAUCGCUUACGGGUUGGAUAGAUUGGUUAUGUUGUUGGCAGGUACUAAUUCCAUCAGGGAUGUU